GGUUGUGGCUCAGUGGCAGAGUACUUGCCUAGCAUGUGUGAGGCACUGGGUUCAAUUCUCAGAACCA
This 67-nucleotide transfer RNA is filed under the name Marmota monax (woodchuck). RNAcentral's name for it is "tRNA.Ala". Lineage: Eukaryota; Metazoa; Chordata; Mammalia; Rodentia; Sciuridae. The record is from RNAcentral.